RNAcentral lists this non-coding RNA (88 nucleotides) under chicken gut metagenome. Its description in RNAcentral is "PGK RNA". It matches the Rfam family "PGK RNA". From Rfam's summary of the family: mammalian gut metagenomes. Environment (Cow rumen (57)) The record is from RNAcentral.
UAAUCUUAUUUGCUCUAGGUUUUACAAUUGUAAAUGAGAAAGAAAACUCAUAAGAAUAAGAUACCACGUUAAAUACUGAUAAUAUUUA